Pseudophryne corroboree (corroboree frog) is the source of this 770-nucleotide long non-coding RNA. RefSeq lists it as uncharacterized. The transcript has 3 exons. The record is from RefSeq and is a predicted model, not a curated record. Lineage: Eukaryota; Metazoa; Chordata; Amphibia; Anura; Myobatrachidae.
UGAAUUGUGCAACCUUGUUGACAAAGGGAUGUUGGGGCGUAUAUUUAUUUUUAAUCCACAGUCUGGGUUAGCGCAGCCUCUUCUCUGAAUGAGGAAAACACAGAGGUUCUGAGCGCAGAAGUUAGGUGAUAGGAGGGGGCUUUUUGCGAUGGCACCUGGAAAGUGACAAGGAAAGGACUUUGGAAUAUGCCCCUGAAUCUACAGGACAGAACAGCUGGCGCUCACAUGUAUUCCUCCAGCGCAAACUCAGUAGAGAGUUUGCAGGGAGGCCCCUCCCCUCACAGCUCUCACUGGCUGGCAGACAUGGCUGCGCACAGGUUCUAUCUCCACCCCAGCACCAACCCGUGAAGUUAGAGCCAUCCUCUGUCACUUUACAAGAUGAGUAGAAGCAAAUGUACAAGAAAGUAAUUCAUAGACUGAAGUUUUCCAUCUUGUAAGAAACCCAGCACCGAAGGAGGAAGAGGAAGGCCACAUGGAACAACAGCUGUUCAAAACUACAAACAGGAAGGUGUAUUGUCUAUCGGGUGAUGACCAAAGUGGGGUAAUAAUACAAAAUUUUUGUAUUACAGUGCUAAAUGAGACACACAGGUUUACACUGUACCAUACAGUAAUACAUGAUUCCUAGUGAGAACAUUCUUUACUUUCUGGUGACAAUGACAGCUAAACUACAUUCAUUUUCUUUCAUAGUCAAGUGGCAGUGUGGCUCAAGUUCUGCGAUCUCUGUGUGCUUAAUACAAAUAGCUGUUUUUCAGAUUACUGGUUGGAAAUAG